GGAAUUGUUCGCAAUGGGCGCAAGCCUGACGACGCAACGCCGCGUGGAGGAUGAAGACCUUCGGGUCGUAAACUCCUUUCGACCGAGAUGAAUACUUGCCGACCUAACACGUCGGCCAGCUGACAGUAUCGAGGGAAGCAGCCCCGGCUAACUCCGUGCCAGCAGCCGCGGUAAUACGGGGGGGGCAAGCGUUGUUCGGAAUUACUGGGCGUAAAGGGUUCGUAGGUGGCUUGCUAAGUCAGACGUGAAAUCCCUCAGCUUAACUGGGGAACUGCGUCUGUGACUGGUGAGCUUGAGUGCAGGAGAGGAACGCGGAAUUCCAGGUGUAGCGGUGAAAUGCGUAGAUAUCUGGAGGAACACCGGUGGCGAAGGCGGCGUUCUGGACUGCUACUGACACUGAGGAACGAAAGCCAGGGGAGCAAA
Molecule: ribosomal RNA, 423 nt
Filed under: uncultured bacterium
Lineage: Bacteria
Description: bacterial SSU rRNA
Rfam family: Bacterial small subunit ribosomal RNA
Source: RNAcentral